UCCAAGCUAGCAUUAGCAGCGCAAAAAUAAUGGCGUACUAUAUUGAAUCAAUCCAGCCGAAUAGUUUUAAGCCACAGGCCAGCUCGAAUGAGGAAAAUGAAUGUGUACAAGGAGGUGGAGUAGCAGAGUGAUAAGAGAAACUUUAGGACACUAAGUCAGUUGUUGUGUCAUUAGCCCCAGAUUUUUCUAGCAUCUGGUUUUCUGAUCCAAUGCAAUUUGAAUUAAGAAGAGCAUAUUACAAAUACAAAAAAGGACUAUUUUCAUUUCACUUUACAAAAGUGUGUAUGAACGCAAGUGUUUUGAACAUUUAAGAGUGAAAUUGGCUUUUAAGUGUGUUUACAUAGACUUUUCUUUCGAAUUGGCCGCUUGAACGCACAUUGUCAAAGGAAUUGUGAGCGUGGCUUCAUGAAUAAAUCAGCACCUAUUUAUUCUGUUCAAAUCCUCAACUGGUUUCAAAGUUUAUAACAGGGCACCAAGAUCUAUCGGAUUCACACUCUCUGUAAACCAUCAAUCAAGUGCAGCCACUAUCUUAAAGGGCCUAUAUCAUACAAAAUCAAAUUCUUUUUUUUAGAUUUUAAGUGUGUUGUGAUGUUAAUUCCUCAAAAAAAGUUAUAUUUUACUCCAUUUACACAUCUCUGAGCAUUCCUCUAAAACCCUCCUCUCUGAGCACCAGCCCCUUCCAAUUCACAAAAACGACUGGGUCUGUACUGCCAGCUCCGCCCCCAGGCUAACACACACCCCCAUUUUCUCUGCAGAGCUUGCAGUGAUCGGUAAAAGUGGUUCCUCUUGCACCUAAUCUGCAAAAACAACAGUUCGCUGUUGAGAAGGCUCAUGAAAUGGGCGGCACCCACAAGGAGAAAAAGGCGGAGCCUCAGAAAUCGAGUCGUCUUACUAUCAGUGGAGACCAGGAUAGAGAUUACAACUACAGCUGCCAGCCAUGUGGAUUGUUAGGGCUCUAUAUGACCUAAUGGAGGUGCGUGUGUGAGUACUUGUGCAAUUUGGGCUCCGGGCUUUGUGGUGUUUACAAAAUGGGUCACACCACCUUUGCCUUACAAUGUUGCUUUGUUUAUAUAUAUAUGUGUGAACAUAAAUUCACAAAGCAACUGUUGUAUUCAUGAAAAUACUUCAUAUCCAACUGUUUUUAUGCCAAAAUGGCAAUUAAUUUUACAUACACCCUUUAAUUUAACUUUAGACAUAAUAGAUUUAAAAAAAUAGAGUAAAAGCUGAGGUAACACUUCCAUUAACAUAGAAACUAGAGGACUAGAUCCGUUGCAGCUUCUUUUUUUUUUUUUUUUUUUUUUGAAGUAGGCAUUCCAGUCAUAUAUUUCUGGAUUAUAAUGACACUGGACAUCCAUUAUGCAGCACAACAAACCCCAAAUGUAUUUUUUUCUCAAAAGAUUAUGUAAAAUUUUCACAUCAGGAGUGACUCUUGUUUGGUCUUGUUUGGUAUAUAUAUUUUUUUGCAUUUAGAGAGCUACAUUUUUGUAUUCUGUUAAACCACCUCCACUCCGGUUGCCUGCCACUCAUGUGCAGCCAAUUGUCCACCUGCAACAUCUCACAUGUCUCAAUUACCUCACUACCCCAAUGUGCUGGGACAAAACCUCCAGCUUUAAAAACAUCUCUACAAACGCACUAAUAGUGACUUUCAGCGGAAGAGAUUGUGAAAUUCAAGGGAGCAGUAUUUUGGGAGUUUGGCUGCUGAGAUGAGUGAAUAUGUCCUACUUCUCUGGCUGCCUUCAAAAUUGUAUUUAUUCCGUUUUUGCACACUGUUGUUUCAGUUUGCUUAUCUAUCAUUGCUCUUUUCUUGUAAAAUUUGCACAUUUCUUUUGGUCUGUUACUAUGUAAGCUGGAGAUUGAUCUAUCCCUCUUGUUGGUUCUGGACAGAAUUCUGCACACCGAUGCAGUUGCAUGCAGCCAUAACAGAUAAAUCUCUCUGCCUGGCUGGCCGUGUUUGAUCUACAGGCUCUGUGGUCACACAGUGUUUCUCUACAUAUCAUAGAAGCUCAGCUGGACCUUUAGAAACUUGAAUUACACAUUUCUAAAAAAAAAAAAAAAAAA
Molecule: long non-coding RNA, 2058 nt
Organism: Oryzias melastigma (Indian medaka)
Lineage: Eukaryota; Metazoa; Chordata; Actinopteri; Beloniformes; Adrianichthyidae
Exons: 2
Source: RefSeq, a predicted model, not a curated record